AUGGCAGGACAAGGACAGAGGAAGAAUCAUCUUUGUAUUGUCACAAUGAAGAAGACUGAAGAAAACAGACCUGCAAAGGGCCCAGCUGUCAGGUACAUUCAGAGCAAGCAGAUGGGACCAGUCCUCACACAAAAAGCAGCAAGAAGUGAGACCUUCCACCCAGCUGGUAAGUUUGCAGACCUUAAUAUAGUUAAUUUACUGGUGGGAUGUGAUACGAAUAUGAGAGACUUAUCUUUAAAUCCCUUCUCCUUGAUUUGGGAGACAGGAUUGAAUACGAGUCCAAAAGAAAUAUUUAAUGCUCUGCUGUAAAGUCAGUCUUCACAUUGAUUUCUGCUCUGUUUAAAGCUACAUACAGUAUUGUCCUAAUCUAACAACUACUUUAAUUGUCCCUCUUUAUGCUUGCUUUGUGUCCUGUGUAGGAGUAGUCCAGAGGCAGUGUGACUGAAGGGACGAACACAGCACUGACAUGGGAGCUCCUACAACCCAGGUAGGAAACAUCACAUGUGUACGUGCCCAUUCCUGGCACCAAUCCCAGGAGCACACAUCAGACAGACCAUAUAGACCAAGAGGAUGCAAAAGUACCACAAAUGGGUUUUACAGAAGACACUCGGCUGGGGUCAGGUCUGCCAGUAGGAAAUAGUAAAUACUUUUCACUGUGACUAGGGCACCUCUAUUCACAUUGCAAUCAUCUUCCUCAAAACUAUUUCCCAAAGGCAGAUGCUUUCAUCCAUUCUCUCAAUGCUUUAGUAGCUAGCUCUUAAACCGCAGCUUGCUGUGAAGGAAAUGGUUGUCUUUAUAAAGCUGUUGUCGCUGAGCAUUCUUGGAAGGGGUCUAAGACCAAGAGGCAGAGUACAAAAGAAAGCAUGUUUACGCAGCCCAGUGCCUGGGAGAAGUCCUAAGUUUUGACCUCUGCUCCUUGGGCUGUUUCUUUGCUUGCCAUUAAACAAUCAUUAGGUUUGGUGCCGAUGGGGAAAGAGUUAAGUGCUGAGUGAAAGCAGACACAGCUGACAAGGACAGAAAUAGGAAGAACAAAACAAUGAAGGGCGUGUGUGCGUGUGCGUGUGUGUGUGUGUGUGUAUGAGGGGUUACUACCUGUGCUGGAACUUGUGUAGUGCUACUGGAGGCAGAAUGGAGGGGCUUUGUAUCUUUGAACAAAGAUCAGGUAGGCAGAAGUGCCUGUGGCUUGCAAAUUAAAUUAAAACACAGGUUGUUUUUUUUUCCUGCUUGGUGAGUUGUUAGGUGGCCAGAUAAUGGGGCAAAGGGGCAAGAGGAGGGGGAAAAAAGGAGAUGUAACACAUGCAAAUACAGACCUAGAGAGAUGUCCUGUCGAGUGGUGCUUAAUAUUACCUAUGCCUCCCACUCAAAAUGUGAACUGCAGACCAGAUUAGAUCAGGGAAUGCUAGCCAUGUCCAGUACAAAAUAUGUUUUGUUUGGUUUGGUUUCUUUUAUAACACAGAGAGAGGGAGCAUAAGUUCAGGGAGGUAAGUGAAAGUUCAGGGAGAUUUCUCCACAUUCAUGAAACCUGAGUUCAUAGUCGAGUUAUUGAGUCACAUACAGAUGAGGAUCUUGCCUGGUCAGUUCAAAAAAAAAGCAGUCCAGCCCCAUACCCUUCCCCCUGUAAGCUCCUUGAUGUUCAGUAGGUGUGGUUGGGUGAAGAAAAGCCAGACCAAUACCAACAGCUGCAUGGAAUCUUUCCACGGCUGAAAGGUGAAUAAUUAACUCUCUUAUAACUGCAGCCCCUCAGGGGGAGGUGAGUCACUAGCCCGAUUUAGAGUUAUGUUAUCUUGUAAUGAACAAUAAGAGGGAAAUCUAUACGUGUCUUGACAGUUCCAGUGAGACUUCGAUGAUCUGUGCCCCAAAAAUCUCAAAAAGGGAGUUGAUCAAAAUGCACUUCUAAGAAAAUAACUGAUUUUCUGCAUACAGUUCAUCAGUGGAUAAGGAAGAUCAUUUUUAUAGGGAUAUGAGAUUUCCUGAGAAUAAUGCUGAGGAUUAGACAAGAAGGAAAAAAAAGUGGUUUGGUUUUAAUUGGCAACAUUGUGCCAGUAUCUAAAAUUAGAUACAAUCAGGGUGAGAAUUAAAUUAUUUCUGAGUCCAGUCAUGCUAAUACUGUUGUAUGUGGAUGCUUGGGAUAGAGUGAGGGGUCCACAAAAGGCUAAUAUGAAAAAUAAGCCUGCUGAUGGGUGACUUAAAAACCUACUAAUACAUUUUUUCUCAAUGGAUCUGAAUGUCCACAGGGAAAUCUCCAGCAGCACGUAAAUUCAGAAAGCUUAAAGGCUGGUCUAAACUUGAAAAAUCUUCGCAUACAUUAACUACGCUCAUUGAGAAAAGCCAUAUAAAUUGAUUCUCCUCAUAUGGAAGGAAAGAAGAUUGGAGCCCUUGGGUCCUGCACAAGGCAGUGCCCUUCCUGCUUCUCCUGGGGCUGCGGCCAGUUCAUUUAAGACCAUUCAAGUUCAGAAAGUGGCUCAUGGAAAAUACCAAUGUGCCACUUUUUACUAAACCUUGCAAAGACAAGUGAAGUGGCUCUGUGCUCACUUUUUCCUGCAACUAAAUUGCUACCAGCUUCAUAGACCUGAUAAGACCCUUUGGUGGAUCAGCCCCACAUCGUCACAGCUAUAGAGGGUCAUCAGCCUCAUUCGUCAUUUCAACAUAUCAUGCAGUCAUGUUCUGAUGGAAGGAGCACUUCUUGAGUUUUUUACUUUCCUCCAGCCAACUUACAAGUAGUACGAAGUGACUCAGGAGGGAGUUGUGUUUGUGUCUUCCCAGUGGGGAAUGAAUCAGAUCCGUGUGUGAGGGGAAGCAAGUGACCUGAGUGAGUAAAUUAAGGGCUUUUCAAAGCUUUGGUAGGGGUUUAAAGAGGAAAAGAAGUUGCAAAGACUGCUUUAAAUUAUGUUUCUUUCCAAGAAGCCAUGACACCUCUAUUAUCUGAGUAAAAGUAGGGUGUUUGCAAGUAGUACACAAUGAAACAGGUAAUUCCAUAGAAAAAUGAAAAAAGAAAUAAAGAGCAUAAAAAACAACA
Anser cygnoides (Swan goose) is the source of this 3016-nucleotide long non-coding RNA. The record is from Ensembl. Lineage: Eukaryota; Metazoa; Chordata; Aves; Anseriformes; Anatidae.